This 465-nucleotide ribosomal RNA is filed under the name uncultured bacterium. RNAcentral's name for it is "partial 16S ribosomal RNA". It matches the Rfam family "Bacterial small subunit ribosomal RNA", at positions 28 to 507 of the family's 1533-position model. The record is from RNAcentral.
GACGAACGCUGGCGGCGUGCUUAACACAUGCAAGUCGAACGGAAAGGCCCCUUUAUGGGUACUCGGGUGGCGAACGGGUGAGUAACACGUGAGUAACCUGCCCUUGACUUCGGGAUAACUUCAGGAUAAUGGAGCUAAUACCGGUUAGGAAUCCUUGCUGCAUGGUGGAGGUUGGAAAGCUUCGGGGGUUUUGGAUGGAUUCGCGGCUUAUCAGCUUGUUGGUGGGGUAGUGGAUUACCAAGGCUAUGACCGGUAGCCGGCAUGAGAGGGCGACCUGCCACAUUGGGACGGGGCUACGGCACAGACUGCAAAAGGCGGCAGAAGUGGGGAAUAUUGCACAAGAAGCGGAAGACUGGUGCAGCACCGCAGCGUGCGGGAUGACGGACUUCGGGUUGUAAAACGCUUUCAGAAGGGGCGAAGCUUGUGGUGACGGUAACUGCAGAAGAAGCAACGGCUAACUACGUG